Long non-coding RNA from Ochotona princeps (American pika), 692 nucleotides. RefSeq lists it as uncharacterized. NCBI's taxonomy places the organism in Eukaryota, Metazoa, Chordata, Mammalia, Lagomorpha, Ochotonidae. The transcript is spliced from 4 exons. The record is from RefSeq and is a predicted model, not a curated record.
UAAUAAAAUGAAACAGUCUAAAGGUGCCAGUUGACUGGCAGUUGUGAGAGCUCCUGGUCCUAGAAUCACAGUCUUCCAAAUGCACUGCCAAGCGUAGAUGUUUAUUACUGCACAGAUAAUGAAGAGUAUUUCAGGCUGGUAAAGUAUUGGUGCGCCUGGUAGAAGAACUUCAUGGUGCUGAUGCCCAGGGCUAUCCAUUGAGUGGUUUCUUUAAGACCGUCAUCAUUUUCAGGUCACUUAUCAUAGGCGAUUGGGCAUAAUCAGUGACUGCAGAAUAAGAUUGCACUGACAGAGAGAGAAGGAAUAGAAUUGAAGAUGUUAUUCAAGUACUCUGAGGGAAGUAAUUAUGAACAUUUUGUCAAUGAAGAAACUGCAGUGAUUUUUUUUCACCGCUCAAGGGUUAAGCGACUUUGCCGAGGUCAUCAGUCAAGAUGACAGCCCAUCUGCCAGCUGCUCAAUCCCCAAAUUCUAACAACAACCAGGACUGGACUCUUAGAGGUCAGAAGCCAGGAGUCAUCACCUGCUGCCUGGUCUGCACAGCAGUAAGCUGGAGUCAGGAACACACAUGGGACUUGCACCCAAGACAUUGCCAUAUGUGAUGCUGGCAUCUUAACUGGCAUUGUUAACUACAAAGCCAAAUGUCUGUACCAAAACUGACAUCUAUUUAUCCUAGAGAAACUAAAAAGUUUAAC